UACGUAGGGGGCAAGCGUUGUCCGGAUUUAUUGGGCGUAAAGGGCGUGUAGGCGGCUUUACAGGUCCGUUGUGAAAACUCGAGGCUCAACCUCGAGACGCCGGUGGAAACCGUAAAGCUAGAGUCCGGAAGAGGAGAGUGGAAUUCCUGGUGUAGCGGUGAAAUGCGCAGAUAUCAGGAGGAACACCCGUGGCGAAAGCGGCUCUCUGGGACGGUACUGACGCUGAGACGCGAAAGCGUGGGGAGCAAACAGG
Molecule: ribosomal RNA, 253 nt
Filed under: uncultured bacterium
Lineage: Bacteria
Description: partial 16S ribosomal RNA
Rfam family: Bacterial small subunit ribosomal RNA
Source: RNAcentral